This 255-nucleotide ribosomal RNA is filed under the name uncultured bacterium. RNAcentral's name for it is "partial 16S ribosomal RNA". It matches the Rfam family "Bacterial small subunit ribosomal RNA", at positions 524 to 776 of the family's 1533-position model. The record is from RNAcentral.
UACGGAGGGUGCGAGCGUUGUCCGGAAUCACUGGGCGUAAAGGGCGCGUAGGUGGCCUGUGGAAGUCUGCGGUGAAAGCCCGGCGCUCAACGCCGAGUCGGCCGUGCGAACUGGGCUCACUGGAGCAUAGUAGAGGCAGGUGGAAUUCCGGGUGUAGCGGUGGAAUGCGUAGAGAUCCGGAAGAACACCGGUGGCGAAGGCGGCCUGCUGGGCUAUGGCUGACACUGAGGCGCGACAGCGUGGGGAGCAAACAGG